UAAUACGAAGGGGGCUAGCGUUGUUCGGAAUCACUGGGCGUAAAGGGCGCGUAGGCGGCUGUUCAAGUCGGGGGUGAAAGCCUGUGGCUCAACCACAGAAUUGCCUUCGAUACUGGACGGCUGGAGACCGGAAGAGGUCAGUGGAACUGCGAGUGUAGAGGUGAAAUUCGUAGAUAUUCGCAAGAACACCAGUGGCGAAGGCGGCUGACUGGUCCGGUUCUGACGCUGAGGCGCGAAAGCGUGGGGAGCAAACAGGAUUAGAUACCCUGGUAGUCCACGCUGUAAACGAUGAAUGCUAGCCGUUGGCCGGCUUGCCGGUCAGUGGCGCAGCUAACGCUUUAAGCAUUCCGCCUGGGGAGUACGGUCGCAAGAUUA
Molecule: ribosomal RNA, 375 nt
Filed under: uncultured bacterium
Lineage: Bacteria
Description: bacterial SSU rRNA
Rfam family: Bacterial small subunit ribosomal RNA
Source: RNAcentral